ACUCAAAUGAAUUGACGGGGGCCCGCACAAGCGGUGGAGCAUGUGGUUUAAUUCGAUGCAACGCGAAGAACCUUACCUACUCUUGACAUCCUGCGAAUCUGGCUGAGAGGCUGGAGUGCCGAAAGGAGCGCAGAGACAGGUGCUGCAUGGCUGUCGUCAGCUCGUGUUGUGAGAUGUUGGGUUAAGUCCCGUAACGAGCGCAACCCUUGCCCUUAGUUGCUAACAAGUUAAGUUGAGCACUCUAAGGGGACUGCUGGUGAUGAACCGGAGGAAGGCGGGGACGACGUCAAGUCAUCAUGGCCUUUAUGAGUAGGGCUACACACGUGCUACAAUGGCGCGUACAGAGGGUAGCGAACCCGCGAGGGGGAGCCAAUCUCUUAAAGCGCGUCGUAGUCCAGAUUGGAGUCUGCAACUCGACUCCAUGAAGUUGGAAUCGCUAGUAAUCGCGGAUCAGCAUUGCCGCGGUGAAUACGUUCCCGGGCCUUGUACACACCGCCCGU
Molecule: ribosomal RNA, 500 nt
Filed under: uncultured bacterium
Lineage: Bacteria
Description: partial 16S ribosomal RNA
Rfam family: Bacterial small subunit ribosomal RNA
Source: RNAcentral